AGAGAAUUUCAGAAAAUAUUUUAAAAAAAUUAAAUUUUUUCAAGAAUUUCUUCAUCCCGGUAAAAUGUCUCAUUCAGACUACAAUCUCCUUUCAACAAACCACUUGAACCAGGAUAAAAUAAAUUCCUCUUGUAAUAAGAUUUCCCUGAGAAUGCCAACUAAAUUCUUGGAAAUUUAGUAGUAUAUUCAAAUUUAGAGUCUAUUAAUUUCUCCUGUUCAAAUAUUUUCAGAUAAUUUAUAUAUGUCUUACAAGACAAGUACAAAAAAUACCUUCAAGGGUUUUAUCAUCUUGAUGUUGAGCAAAUCAUUAAAUAAGUCCAUGCUGUCUUCAAAAGAUUUUUGACUAUUUCAUGACUUUUUUGGGCAUUUGGACCAACUAAGUCAGCUCGAAGUCUAAAUCUAUUACACUCUGACUUUUAAAAUGUGGUCUGGAUUACUCUACAUUAAAUACAGACUGCAACCUGUCAGGUCUUUAUUUUAUUUGAGAUGAUGCCCCAAUAGUUGGAAGGUUAACAAAGCUUAAAAACCACAGACGAUCAUCGAUAUUUCCUAACUUUGACUCAUCAUUUUGCUGAGUGAACAUAUAUGUCAACUUUCGACAUGAAGAGUGACAUAAUUUCUGCUAAUUAAUUACUUUAAAAAAUAUUUUGUGAAGAAUAUCAAUUUCAAUGAAAAAUGUUAAAAAACAAAACUGGCAGAAUUAUCAGAAAUUUUUUUUAUUUUACUAUUUUUGCCACUAUUUGUUCCACAAGAAGAUGAAUAAAUAUCAGUAAAUUUGAAGAUAUAUUUGAAUACAGUUACUGUAGGAAUGUUUUACAAGAGCAGUAUUUGUUUGUGGUGCCAUACAGUUACCUACAUAAGAUGUAAUAAAUAAUUUAUCAUCAGUUUUAUUAUCACAAUAGCACCAGAAAAUAUUACGAUACAAUUCUAAGUCCAAGUCGCCCAGCUCUAUUGGGAAACAUAAAAAAUAAAAACUACAAACAUGUCAAAAAUUAGCCUGUUAUGUCGUUAGUACUGUUGCCUAAAAGACUGCUUUUUAAAAUACAGUUAGAUUUAUUUUGCAGCACAGUGGUGCAAUUGUUAGUACUGUUGCAUGCUGUUAGUCAAAUUUAAUGCUUUGACUUUGCUUUCCCCUUUGAGGGAAUUGUAAAACACAAUUUCUCAUUAAAAAAAAAAAGCUGAAAGGAUUUCAACUUGGAAAGUGGAGACUCUGCAACUGGUAAGAAAAAGAAAGGGAAAUGCUUUUGGCAUGAGUUGCUCCUGUAAUUAUAAAACCUAAUCCGAUCAGCUGUCAGAAGUUUGCAGCUACAGCCUCAGCUGGAGUGCAGCCAGAUCGCUGUUAUGCUGGACAUGAGGAUACAUCCACUUUCACUGACCUUUAUGGGCUCUUUGCACCUCAGCUUCCGCGUUCGGGGAAAAGCGGCUCGAUCAUUUCCAAUCUAUUGAAAAUGGCACUUUACACCGGGUAUUUGCAGGGCUUGUCCAAGGUAACAAUUAAUGACAUACAUCGAUCCGAAGCCCCAAUAAGUAAGCUGAAGAAAGGUUUUAAGAUGUACGCCUCGUUAUACGUUCGCAGAUACAAAGGUGAGUUUUACUUUCUUUAAACUUUGUGGCUAACAUUAGCUUUAGCUUAUGCUAGUUGGCAAUAUUCUUGGACAUUUUUCUUGUAAAAAUUUAGGCAUCUAAGCAUUUUUCAUCCAUUCUAACGGACGAUGUUUUUACCUUAUUUUCAAGUAUAUUACGUGCGUUUAUUGUUGUUAGUGUCAGAGACCAAGUAAUGGGGGAUUUUACGGUUCAGGCUUUUUGCCUGAAGCAUGAGGAAGCACAACAACCCCGUAGCUUAACAGUAGGGCAGCUCUGGUGUCAGAGUUCUAGUUGAGGA
This is a long non-coding RNA of Xiphophorus couchianus (Monterrey platyfish), 1882 nucleotides long. RefSeq lists it as uncharacterized. The record is from RefSeq and is a predicted model, not a curated record. The transcript is spliced from 3 exons. Lineage: Eukaryota; Metazoa; Chordata; Actinopteri; Cyprinodontiformes; Poeciliidae.